CGUGCCCUACGGGGCGCAGCAGUGGGGAAUAUUGCACAAUGGGCGAAAGCCUGAUGCAGCGACGCCGCGUGAGUGAAGAAGUAUUUCGGUAUGUAAAGCUCUAUCAGCAGGGAAGAAAAUGACGGUACCUGACUAAGAAGCCCCGGCUAACUACGUGCCAGCAGCCGCGGUAAUACGUAGGGGGCAAGCGUUAUCCGGAUUUACUGGGUGUAAAGGGAGCGUAGUCGGCGAAG
RNAcentral lists this ribosomal RNA (233 nucleotides) under uncultured bacterium. RNAcentral describes it as "partial 16S ribosomal RNA". It matches the Rfam family "Bacterial small subunit ribosomal RNA", at positions 333 to 583 of the family's 1533-position model. The record is from RNAcentral.